UUUUUAUUACAGAGGUAAGUGUUUUAAUUCUGUUGACACUGUGUAGCUUGACUGUGACAAAUAGCACUAAUUAGUAAUACAUGUCAGUUAAAACGUAUCCUUUUUAAUUAAUCGCAAAAUAUUAUUUACACUGGUAGGAAUACAUAUUUAGUUUGAGUGUCUCAAGAAACUUUGACUGACCAACCCCAAGAUGUUUGGUAUAGGUAGGUAGGCACUGCCUACCGUACAUGUAAGUGUCACUAGCAUGUCAGAUUAGCUCCAGGCUACUGUCUGAACAUAGUGGCUGGGUGGCUGUCAUAGGCUACCAAUGCCCAUACAUUUUGCUGUAUGGUGUGUUAAUCUUUCCCUCUGUUAGAUUUAGUCAGAUUUUGUUAAUCUGGAAGUUCGGGCGAUCCCAGAAGAAAACCGAUGAGCCUCACACCCUGCAGGUUACAGUGCUAGGAAGUCAGGCCUGAGUCUGAAAUCAAACUAUCUCGCUUUUCGUAGUCUUUUGUGAAUCAAUGGGACUGUUACUUAGGCCUACCUUUCUGACCAAGUUAAUUAGAUUUACAUUUUGGGAUUCAAACAACAGGACCACCUCGUAAUAUGUAGCCUAAUGGAUAGCCUAGAGAGCAUGGUUUCAGACCUUCACAGAUUCAGAGGCGUUAUGCAACCACGUGGUUGCACUCCUCUUCCAGACACAUCACUACCACUUCACAUGGGAGAAAAGCGUGCCAACACCUCUGUUGUCCUCCAGUGUUCUGCAGUCGCGGCACCGACCAACGACACAGGUUUAUGUGUUUACCUCAGGCCUAGCCAAACAUCCUGUAUAGUCUACUCAAUAAUAGUAUUUGAAGUUCUAGUAUAUAGACAGACGUGACUAACACUGACUUAAGUGUUGCUACACUGACAAUAUGAUUUAUGUGCUGACAUCUUUUUUCUUUUUGCUCCAGGGGAUUCGCCCGGAACCCACUGACCAACUUGUGGUCAGGAAACCCAAGGUUUGGGUUAGGUGUUUUAUUUUAUACAUGGACACAUACCUCCUGAAUGCCAAGUAAAUAUGGCCGAGGGACACACACCCCAUUUCAUUUAUUUAUUUCUGUUAAAUGUAUAUAUGUAAAUUAUUUUAAUCAAAGAAUUGGAAACGAACAUUCCUGAACAUUUGUUUAAGGUAACACACACUCUGAGCACCUUUAAAACAAGACUGAAGACUUUUAUGUUUGCAUUAGUUUUCUGCUAAAUCUUAAAUACAUUGCACUUUCUAAAAAGCUUUUUUAACUUUGCCUUUAUUUUCUAUUUUAAUACUAAAAUGCCCUUUUAACUUUCUAUUUUACUCAUUUCUUUGCAUGUUUUCUUUUACACAUCUAUUACUUUAUUUUAUGACAAUGUUUAUAUGUGAAGCACUUUAAGUCUGCCUUGUGUAUGAAAAGUGCUAUAUAAAUAAAGUUGCCUUGCCUAACACACACAGAACAUUUAAUUUCUUUCUGCUAAAUGUAAAUAUGUAUAUAUGUAAAUGUAUAUUUAAGAAAAAACUGGAAACGAACAUUAAAUAAACAUUUAAAUAGGACGGACACACACACACACACAAUUUCAUUUUAAUUUCUUUCUGUUAAAUAUAAACAAAGAACAUUAAACGUUUGAAAAUGUGUUUUAAUGUGUAACACUGGGACAUCGCCCUUCACAUCUAAAGGACCUUGAUGGUUAAAAAUCAAGCAACAAUUUACCCACAGCUGAUUGACAGAGCCUGAAAGAGUCAGAGGAAUGGUCGUGUCCCAGAUAUGAUAUUCUUUGACCCUUCUGAUGGCCCUCUCCACCAAGAUUCUGAUGCCGCUUUUCCACCGCACAUGUAGCUCGACUCGACACGACUCGACACGACACGACUCGACACGGUAGCACCACGGGUGCUUUUCCACCGCAAAUAGUACCUCCUGGACGUGGGCGGGGUCGGCUGCGCGAAAGGGCCGUGACGUAUUUUUGUAUGCGACGCAAACAAGACCUACGCAACCCACACAUGGACAGAACCCACAUAACAACAAUGGAGGACAUCGAUAACAUUACUAUUAUUAGCUGGCAUGUUGAAGAAGUUGAAGAAGUGGAAUAUAUGUUGGCUGCGGCGCUGCUAUGGCUGUUACCAGCAUGGUUGCCAUGUCGCUCUCGUAACUUCGUCACACUCUCUGGCCAAUCAGUGGCCGGCCGUCUGCCGACGUCACCUUUUAGCAUCGGCUCAGCUCGCUUGGAACCUAGAGCGAGGCGGUACUAGAAAAAGCAGCCACUUCAGGUACCAGGUACCAUGUUUUCGCGGUGGAAACGCAAAAAAUGCGAGCUGAGUCGAGUCGUGUCGAGCUGGUACCAUGCAGUGGAAAAGCGGCAUAAGUCGGGCGAUACUCUGGGUUUUUUCGGUGUCCUCUGGUGAACCUGGCGCCUCUUUUAAAUGGCGGCAUUAUGAAGGUAGCCCCAACUUCAGAAAGCACCUUGAUGACAAAGCCUUUGUCAGCCAUGGAUGCAUCUCCUGGCUGAACUCAGGAUUCCUGACUGCUGUGUGAUUUCUCUGUCUGAUAUGGAACCAGUGUACAGCUUAGAAAUGAAGGUGAUAACUCCACAUGGAGCAAUGCCAAUCAGACCUUUGAAGGUGUUGGUAUUCUUGUAGUGGGAGAAUGUUUCAGACUGGAGGGUGAGUGAUUAGGGUGCCUCACACCUGAUUUCUGUGCAGUCUAGAAUCACUCGCAUGUUAGGACAGUACUGGGCAAAAAUUAAUCUCACCCAAGAUUUAUUUCGUCCUUCGGGAAAGCGUGGAAGCUGAGGUAUGGCUGUCUACGUCCUGAUGUAGAGCAACACGGUACACUACAAGAACAACGGCGAAUGGAGGCUGCCAUUGUUGUUGCUGCUAGACACGACCGGAAGUUGGAUUACCCUACUACGUCGACCAGACCGAAGUCGAGGAGAAUGUUCAAAAUUUUUCUGGACACCUCAACAGCUGUUUUGGUGCACAGGGGUUUUGCCAAAACCCACUUUGUGAAAAGGUCUGUUGCUGUCAGAAUAAAUCUGCAACAUAAAAUGUUGUAAAUGUAGUAAUAAUCGUUAAUAGACAAUCCAUCCCUGUCACUAGUUUUCCUUUAAACCAACUAUUUUGCAUUGACUAUCUUUAAAUGUGGUUACACAUACAUCAGCCAUGCAUAAAAGCUACCUUUUGCCCUAUGCGGUAGUGGGAAGGGGACCAAUUAGGUCAACCGCAAGGUCACUCCAUGCCUUGCUGGCAUCAAUUGGAUGAAGGACAGGUGCCACAGUCUUCAUCACCUCAAGAUGCUGACAGCGGGGACAUUCAUCAACCUUUAAAGCAGAAAAGUUCCAUCAAGAUCUACUGGUAUCAUGGUAUUGCAUGAGUAUUACAAAGCAAAAAAACAAGUACUCUCAGUGUUGGGAAGGUAACUUUUAAAAUGUAUCCAUAUACAGAAUACAUGCCCAAAAAUGUAAUAUGUAACGUAUUCCGUUUCAUCACUCAAUCUGAGUAUUGUAUUCUGAAUACUUGGAUUUCUUCCACAUUGAAUUUCAUUUUACAAGUGUAGGAAUGCGGCAUCAAAUCGUGCUUACUAAACAGGCCUAUUCUGGUGUGUUCUUCUUCUUUGUUCGGCCCAAGUCUCCCUGAAAGUGAACUAUUUUAUAUAAUUUGCUGUAGUGGAACAACGACUAUAAGGCUAUGUUCAUGCGAAAGAUAUUCGCUAUUACAUCUAAAAAAAUAUUCACUGAGAUAAGUGCAUUGGUGUUGCCUAUAAAAUCAGAGAGAGAGAGAGAGAGAGAGAGAGAGAGAGAGAGAGAGAGAGAGAGAGAGAGAGAGAGAGAGAGAGAGAGAGAGAGAGAGAGAGAGAGAGAGAGAGAGAGAGAGAGAGAGAAUAAAUCCAUCUCAAUUCAGUUUCAUACCUCACCUUUCAAAAAGUACCAAAACUCAACGAUUUGUUCUCAUCCUCUCGCAAGGUUGACCAGUGGUAGGAUGCCAUGAACUUGUCCAAUGUCCUGCCUUCUGAGUUUAGGGCGGUGAUUAGGCUGUUGGUUUAGCUUCAGGUAAUGCUUUA
Gadus macrocephalus (Pacific cod) is the source of this 4046-nucleotide long non-coding RNA. RefSeq lists it as uncharacterized. NCBI's taxonomy places the organism in Eukaryota, Metazoa, Chordata, Actinopteri, Gadiformes, Gadidae. The record is from RefSeq and is a predicted model, not a curated record. The transcript has 2 exons.